RNAcentral lists this unclassified non-coding RNA (273 nucleotides) under Hevea brasiliensis (rubber tree). Lineage: Eukaryota; Viridiplantae; Streptophyta; Magnoliopsida; Malpighiales; Euphorbiaceae. The record is from RNAcentral.
AAUUAAUUGAAUGGCGGGUAAGCAAUUAGAUGUCCCGAGGACAAGUGGUGGUAACUUGAAAGAGCAAUUAGUGAGGAGAACUUUGCAGAAUGUGAGGUCUCAAGGGCACAUAUAUGUUGAGCUUAGAGAGGAUGGGAAGAGGCUGAUCUUUUUCUGCACGUUAUGUCAUUCUCCAUGUUAUAGCGAUUCUGUUCUGUUUAAUCAUUUGAAAGGCAAUCUCCAUACUGAAAUGCUUGCUGCUGCUAAAGCCACAUUGUUGAAACCUAAUCCUUG